RNAcentral lists this ribosomal RNA (173 nucleotides) under uncultured bacterium. RNAcentral's name for it is "partial 16S ribosomal RNA". It matches the Rfam family "Bacterial small subunit ribosomal RNA", at positions 335 to 524 of the family's 1533-position model. The record is from RNAcentral.
ACUCCUACGGGAGGCAGCAGUGGGGAAUAUUGCACAAUGGGCGAAAGCCUGAUGCAGCGACGCCGCGUGGAGGAUGAAGGCCUUCGGGUCGUAAACUCCUGUCUGGGGGGAUGAACACUGACAGUACCCCCGGAGGAAGCCCCGGCUAACUACGUGCCAGCAGCCGCGGUAAU